AACAUAAGGUGAUCAAGGUUUAGUAUUUUAAAUAAAUAUUAAGUUUAGGAAAGUCCAUGUUAGCACAUGUUUCAGGAAUAACAUGUAGUGUUUGUGCUUAAGAAAAAAAUAACUUAAGGUACUUAAUUUUAUUGAGUAACGGCUUUUUUAGAUUCUAAGAACUUAUUUUUAUAAGUUUAUGAAAAUAAAAAAAUAAAGUGCCACAGAGACGAGUUAAUUAGAAAUAAUUAAGUGAAACGCGGUAAACCCCUCAAGCUAAUAAUCCAAAAAAAGGUAGGAGCACAUAAAAUAAACUUUUCCUGAUUUUAUUAAAGUUAUUUUUAUGCUAUUUAAAUUGAAUUAAAUAGAGAUAAAUGAUCACACUUAUUUUAUAAAAUAAUUAUUUUUGAUUAUUUUAAAAAUAAGCACAGAACAUGGCUUAUGCAU
This 426-nucleotide RNase P RNA is filed under the name 'Cynodon dactylon' phytoplasma. RNAcentral describes it as "RNase P RNA component class B". It matches the Rfam family "Bacterial RNase P class B". Rfam says of the family: Ribonuclease P (RNase P) is a ubiquitous endoribonuclease, found in archaea, bacteria and eukarya as well as chloroplasts and mitochondria. Its best characterised activity is the generation of mature 5'-ends of tRNAs by cleaving the 5'-leader elements of precursor-tRNAs. The record is from RNAcentral. Lineage: Bacteria; Bacillati; Mycoplasmatota; Mollicutes; Acholeplasmatales; Acholeplasmataceae.